GACGAACGCUGGCGGCGUGCCUAAUACAUGCAAGUCGAACGCAGUGGGGACGGGUGAGUAACACGUGGGUAACCUCCCAUCAGAGGGGAUAACACUUGGAAACAGGUGCUAAACCGAUCCUGAUGGAUGACCCCGCGGUGCAGUAGCUAGUUGGUGAGGUAACGGCUCACCACGGCCACGAUUCAUCGCCGACCUGAGAGGGUGAUCGGCCACCUUGUGACUGAGACGCUGCCCAGGCUCCUACGGUAUGCAGCAGUAGGGAAUCUUCGGCAAUGGACGAAAGUCUGACCGAGCAACGCCGCGUGAGUGAAGAAGUUUUUCGGAUCGUAAAACUCUGUUGUUAGAGAAGCGGUAUCUAACCAGAAAGCCACGGCUAACUACGUGCCAGCAGCCGCGGUAAUUC
RNAcentral lists this ribosomal RNA (403 nucleotides) under uncultured bacterium. RNAcentral describes it as "partial 16S ribosomal RNA". It matches the Rfam family "Bacterial small subunit ribosomal RNA", at positions 28 to 526 of the family's 1533-position model. The record is from RNAcentral.